AUAAUCAUUUGCCUUAUAAUUGAAGGCUAGUAUGAAUGGUUUGACGAGAGCAAUACUGUCUCCUUUUUAUUUUCAAAAACUUAACUUUUAGGUGAAGAGGCCUAAAUUUUAUUGAAGGACAAAAAGACCCUGUCGAGCUUAAAAGACAUUAUAGGAGUCUAAUAUAUUUUUAAAUAAAUUUUCUAUUAGGCUUUUUAGUUGGGGCGACUAGGGAACAAAAAAAGCUUCUUUCUAAUAAAUAAACAAUCAUGUUUAGAUCCGAUAAUAGCGAUCAAAGAAAUUAGUUACCGCAGGGAUAACAGCAUAAUCUCUCUUAAGAGGCCUAAUCGAAAGAGGGGGUUGUGACCUCGAUGUUGGACUAGAAUAUCCUAAAGAUGCAGAAGUCUUUAAGGGUCGGUCUGUUCGACCGUUAAAAUUCU
This 419-nucleotide ribosomal RNA is filed under the name Semisulcospira libertina. RNAcentral's name for it is "partial 16S ribosomal RNA". It matches the Rfam family "Bacterial large subunit ribosomal RNA", at positions 1956 to 2597 of the family's 2925-position model. The record is from RNAcentral. Lineage: Eukaryota; Metazoa; Mollusca; Gastropoda; Semisulcospiridae.